This 497-nucleotide ribosomal RNA is filed under the name uncultured bacterium. Its description in RNAcentral is "partial 16S ribosomal RNA". It matches the Rfam family "Bacterial small subunit ribosomal RNA", at positions 28 to 507 of the family's 1533-position model. The record is from RNAcentral.
GAUGAACGCUGGCGGCGUGCCUAAUACAUGCAAGUCGAGCGAACAGACGAGGAGCUUGCUCCUCUGACGUUAGCGGCGGACGGGUGAGUCACACGUGGAUAACCUACCUAUCAGACUGGGAUAACUUCGGGAAACCGGAGCUACUACCGGAUAAUAUAUUGCACCGCAUGGUUCAAUCGUGAAAGUCGCUUUUGCUGUCACUUAUAGAUGACUCCGCGCCGCAUUCGCUAGUUGGUAAGGUAACGGCUUACCAAGGCAACGAUGGGUAGACGACCUGAGAGGGUGAUCGGCCACACUGGAACUGAGACACGUUCCAGACUCCGAGGGGAGGCAGCAGUAGGGAAUCUUCCGCAAUGGGCGAAAGCCUGAUGGUGCAACGCCGCGGGAGUGAUGAAGGUCUUCGGACCCUAAAACUCUGUUAGUAGUGAAGAACAAAUGUGUAAGUAACUAUGCACGUCUUGACGGUACCGAAUCAGAAAGCUACGGCUAACUACGUG